AAAAUGACUCUCGGCAACGGAUAUCUCGGCUCUCGCAUCGAUGAAGAACGUAGCGAAAUGCGAUACUUGGUGUGAAUUGCAGAAUCCCGUGAACCAUCGAGUCUUUGAACGCAAGUUGCGCCCAAAGCCUUCUGGUUGAGGGCACGUCUGCCUGGGUGUCACAC
Molecule: ribosomal RNA, 164 nt
Filed under: Clusia sp. MG353
Lineage: Eukaryota; Viridiplantae; Streptophyta; Magnoliopsida; Malpighiales; Clusiaceae
Also listed under: 2 other names
Description: 5.8S ribosomal RNA
Rfam family: 5.8S ribosomal RNA
About the family: 5.8S ribosomal RNA (5.8S rRNA) is a component of the large subunit of the eukaryotic ribosome. It is transcribed by RNA polymerase I as part of the 45S precursor that also contains 18S and 28S rRNA. Functionally, it is thought that 5.8S rRNA may be involved in ribosome translocation.
Source: RNAcentral